Molecule: non-coding RNA, 88 nt
Filed under: human gut metagenome
Description: TPP riboswitch (THI element)
Rfam family: TPP riboswitch aptamer (THI element) (bases 1-79)
About the family: Vitamin B(1) in its active form thiamin pyrophosphate (TPP) is an essential coenzyme that is synthesised by coupling of pyrimidine and thiazole moieties in bacteria. The previously detected thiamin-regulatory element, thi box was extended, resulting in a new, highly conserved RNA secondary structure, the THI element, which is widely distributed in eubacteria and also occurs in some archaea. Analysis of operon structures identified a large number of new candidate thiamin-regulated genes, mostly transporters, in various prokaryotic organisms.
Source: RNAcentral
UUGUCGGAGUGCCUUAGGCUGAGAUCAAUUUUUUUGAAAUCCGCAGACCUGAUCAAGAUAAUGCUUGCGAAGGGAACAAUAGUUUUUA